Molecule: non-coding RNA, 388 nt
Organism: Nicotiana tabacum (common tobacco)
Lineage: Eukaryota; Viridiplantae; Streptophyta; Magnoliopsida; Solanales; Solanaceae
Source: RefSeq, a predicted model, not a curated record
CCUUGGUGCUGGGGUCUCGUCUCUUUAUUCCAAACACUUUCUCUUUUUCUUCGUAUGAUUGUACGAAAUCUUUUUCAAGGAAACCAUUCUCAUAUUUCAUUGGAGCUCUGCUACGUAAAGUUUUCUGUCAUUUUCCUUAUUCUGCUUUCAUCAUUUUGGUGCAGAAAUGCAGCAGUAGUAUUAACUUAGUUGCAUAUAAAAUCACAGACCUGGAAAAUUUUCUUAGCUAAUAAACCCCAGAAGAAAGAAGAAAGACAAGGGAAUUAAAAUGGCAACUACUACUACUACAAAGAAGAAAACAGAGAAAACAGUUCCGGGAUUGGUAGAUUUGGUGUUUUCUUGGUCUCUAGGGGACGUGCUGAACAGAGAUCUUUACAAAAACAAGGUU